GACGAACGCUGGCGGCGUGCUUAACACAUGCAAGUCGAACGGAAAGGCCCUGCUUUUGUGGGGUGCUCGAGUGGCGAACGGGUGAGUAACACGUGAGUAACCUGCCCUUGACUUUGGGAUAACUUCAGGAAACUGGGGCUAAUACCGGAUAGGAGCUCCUGCUGCAUGGUGGGGGUUGGAAAGUUUCGGCGGUUGGGGAUGGACUCGCGGCUUAUCAGCUUGUUGGUGGGGUAGUGGCUUACCAAGGCUUUGACGGGUAGCCGGCCUGAGAGGGUGACCGGCCACAUUGGGACUGAGAUACGGCCCAGACUCCUACGGGAGGCAACAGUGGGGAAUAUUGCACGAUGGGCGGAAGCCUGAUGCAGCAACGCCGCGUGCGGGAUGACGGCCUUCGGGUUGUAAACCGCUUUCGCCUGUGACGAAGCGUGAGUGACGGUAAUGGGUAAAGAAGCACCGGCUAACUACGUG
This 468-nucleotide ribosomal RNA is filed under the name uncultured bacterium. RNAcentral describes it as "partial 16S ribosomal RNA". It matches the Rfam family "Bacterial small subunit ribosomal RNA", at positions 28 to 507 of the family's 1533-position model. The record is from RNAcentral.